UUGACCUCAAAUCAGGUAGGACUACCCGCUGAACUUAAGCAUAUCAAUAAGCGGAGGAAAAGAAACUAACAAGGAUUCCCCUAGUAACUGCGAGUGAAGCGGGAAAAGCUCAAAUUUGAAAUCUGAUGGUCUUUGACCGUCCGAGUUGUAAUCUAGAGAAGUGUUACCUGUG
This 172-nucleotide ribosomal RNA is filed under the name uncultured Cortinariaceae. RNAcentral describes it as "partial 28S ribosomal RNA". It matches the Rfam family "Eukaryotic large subunit ribosomal RNA", at positions 1 to 169 of the family's 3401-position model. The record is from RNAcentral. Lineage: Eukaryota; Fungi; Basidiomycota; Agaricomycetes; Agaricales; Cortinariaceae.